This is a non-coding RNA of Phyllosticta capitalensis, 100 nucleotides long. NCBI's taxonomy places the organism in Eukaryota, Fungi, Ascomycota, Dothideomycetes, Botryosphaeriales, Phyllostictaceae. The record is from the annotation of a GenBank genome assembly.
GCUUCGGUGGUGUAGUUGGUUAUCACGUCAGUCUAACAAAUCAGCUUCACAGCUGGCUGUUGGACACUGAAGGUCCCGAGUUCAAGUCUCGGCCGAAGUA